CUUCUCUUUAGAGCCUCCAUCAGAACAUGGCUGUCCUAAUGCUGAUCAUCUGCCUGGUGAUCUUUCCAAGCUGUGUCUGGUCCCAGGUUCAGCUGAAGGAGUCAGGACCUGGGCUGCUGCAGCCUUCACAGACCCUGGCCAUCACCUGCACUGUCUCUGGGUUCUCAUUAACCGAUAAUGAUGUACAAUGGGUUCGUCAGACUCCAGGAAAGGGUCUGGAGUGGAUAGGAGCAGUCUGGAAUCAUGGAGGCAUAGAUUAUAAUUCAGCUCUCAAGUCCCGACUGAGCAUCAGCAGGGACACUUCCAAGAGCCAAGUUUUCUUAAAAAUGAACAGUCUACAAACUGAUGACACAGCCAUGUACUACUGUGCCAAAGACACACUGAGGGAAGUUCAGAGUGAAACUGCACAAAAACCUCUCUACAGUGAUGCUCAGGACCAGCAGGUGGCAGUAAAUACCAACAAGGACUUGCCAGGAUCAAUUCAGAAUCUAGAAAGUUCUGGCCUAGGCUUUAUGAGCAACUAUUUUAAUGGUAGAAAUGUGGACUAUUCUUCUAGACAUGGGUCAUUUCUAUGA
Apodemus sylvaticus (European woodmouse) is the source of this 575-nucleotide non-coding RNA. The record is from the annotation of a RefSeq genome assembly. NCBI's taxonomy places the organism in Eukaryota, Metazoa, Chordata, Mammalia, Rodentia, Muridae.